This 468-nucleotide ribosomal RNA is filed under the name uncultured bacterium. RNAcentral describes it as "partial 16S ribosomal RNA". It matches the Rfam family "Bacterial small subunit ribosomal RNA", at positions 28 to 507 of the family's 1533-position model. The record is from RNAcentral.
GACGAACGCUGGCGGCGUGCUUAACACAUGCAAGUCGAACGGAAAGGCCCUGCUUUUGUGGGGUGCUCGAGUGGCGAACGGGUGAGUAACACGUGAGUAACCUGCCCUUGACUUUGGGAUAACUUCAGGAAACAGGGGCUAAUACCGGAUAGGAGCUCCUGCUGCAUGGUGGGGGUUGGAAAGUUUCGGCGGUUGGGGAUGGACUCGAGGCUUAUCAGCUGGUUGGUGGGGUAGUGGCUUACCAAGGCUUUGACGGGUAGCCGGCCUGAGAGGGUGACCGGCCACAUUGGGACUGAGAUACGGCCCAGACUCCUACGGGAGGCAGCAGUGGGAAAUAUUGCACAAUGGGCGGGAGCCUGAUGCAGCAACGCCGCGUGCGGGAUGACGGGCUUCGGGUUGUAAACCGCUUUCGCCUGUGACGAAGCGUGAGUGACGGUAAUGGGUAAAGAAGCACCGGCUAACUACGUG